CUUCCUACGGGAGGCAGCAGUGGGGAAUUUUCCGCAAUGGGCGCAAGCCUGACGGAGCAAGACCGCGUGAGGGAAGAAGGUCCGUGGAUUGUAAACCUCUUUUGAUAGGGAAGAACACAGUGACGGUACCUGUCGAAUCAGCCUCGGCUAACUCCGUGCCAGCAGCCGCGGUAAUACGGAGGAUGCAAGCGUUAUCCGGAAUUAUUGGGCGUAAAGAGUCCGUAGGUGGGUAACCAAGUCAGCUGUUAAAUAGUGAAGCUUAACUUCAUAGAGGCGGCGGAAACUGGUUGUCUAGAGUGUGGUAGGGGUAGAGGGAAUUUCCAGUGUAGCGGUGAAAUGCGUAGAUAUUGGAAAGAACACCGGUGGCGAAAGCGCUCUACUGGACCUGCACUGACACUGAGGGACGAAAGCUAGGGGAGCGAAAGGGAUUAGAUACCCCAGUAGUCA
RNAcentral lists this ribosomal RNA (447 nucleotides) under uncultured Phormidium sp. RNAcentral describes it as "bacterial SSU rRNA". It matches the Rfam family "Bacterial small subunit ribosomal RNA", at positions 335 to 796 of the family's 1533-position model. Lineage: Bacteria; Bacillati; Cyanobacteriota; Cyanophyceae; Oscillatoriales; Oscillatoriaceae. The record is from RNAcentral.